This is a long non-coding RNA of Sarcophilus harrisii (Tasmanian devil), 3016 nucleotides long. The record is from Ensembl. NCBI's taxonomy places the organism in Eukaryota, Metazoa, Chordata, Mammalia, Dasyuromorphia, Dasyuridae.
AAAUCUCCCCGGGGACCCUGGCCGAGUUCUGGGGAGUUGUGUGUUCAAGGCUGGGCCUUCUGAGCGGGUCUAGGUGCCAGCAGCAGAGAGAAAGAAGGGGAUGGGCCCGGGCGGGCUCCAGAGCCGCUGUGGCCGCCCAGUGGCACACCCCAUUUCACGCUCCCUGGGCGGUGGCAGGGGCCCCACGGCUAUCAGCUUUCAGUGGGGAGGGGCUGACCCACCCAUGAUUCCCCAUUUCCUUGAGGCACCGUGGCCCGAAGAGGCUGUGACAGGGGCAGCCGGAACCCCAGGAGGCCCUAUGCUCCUGGCUAGUGGCCAGGCUUGGGCAACCCUUGAAGGAAGGGGGUGCUGGAGCCUUGGAGGAGUCAUUCCAGGCCCGACCCCCUUAUUGCCAAGCUGGCCGCGCCCCUGGGCCUCCCUUUCCUGCCUGUGGCCACUCCGGUGCCUCCUCCCCUUCCGUGAAGCCCAGAGGGCGGGGGGAUCAGAAAAGACCUAGCCCAGAGGCUGAGCUCCUGUCUGGGUCAUCGCGUCUGUCCGCCCAGCAGCUGUCUCUGCCCUGCUCUCGCGCCCCCCUGGGCGGCUGCCAUGGGCCGGAAGAGGAGGCUCAUCACCGACUCCUUCCCCAAAGUGAAGAGGAGGAAGGGCGGGCCGGGGCCUGGCAAGGAGGACCCGGAGCCCGAGCCAGGGCUGCGAGGGGAGGAGUCGGGGGAGGAGCCGCUCGCACCCCUGGAGGACAAAACUCAUUUAGAGCUACUGAGGCAGUUUGACCUGGACAGGCACUUCGGCCCCUGCACAGGGAUCACUCGGCUUCAGCGCUGGGAGCGGGCAGAGCAGCUGGGCCUGGGCCCUCCCCAUGAGGUGCUCAAGGUGCUGUGGGCCCACCCUGGAGACCCCCAGUACCAGUGCAGCCUCUGGCACCUGUACCCCAUCUAAAGGAGGCAAUCCCGAAGUCCCGCCCGGUGCCCCCUGCCGCCUUCCCAGGGGCCUUCACGAUGGACAGGGGAGCCCACUGCUGUUUCUUCAGACAACCCCCUACUAGAGGGGUCUUGGGGGCAGAGGUUGGAGCGGAAGCUUCCCUAGGGAAAGGAAUAGCUCGAACUCCAGCUGGGGGGAGGGGACUCCUCUGACUUGCCAGUAGCCAUAGUGACCCCUGCGAGCAAGCUCAGCCAACCAGCGGCAGCAGAAUCUUUUUAGAAAGCCAGCAGGGGCUUCCCGGCCCUUGGGCGUGACAUCUGGCCCCUCCAUCCCUGAGCUGGGUCCCUGACAAAGGGCCGGACAGAGCCCAGGAGCUCAGCUGGGCCAAGGGGGUCCCGGCAGGGAAGCAGGUGGGGGCUGAGCUUGCCAGGUGGGCAGGGCUUCGAUGGGACAAACGAAUAAAAGAUAACCGGCAGCGACUCUUGAUGUGCCCGCCCUCCUCCUUCCGCCCUUUCUGGGACAAGGGUCCGAGCCACAGCCCACGGCUUGCCCACCUUCAGAAGGGAAGAGACUCUGGCUCCCAAGCCAACUUGGCUUUGGACGCCCCCUAGUGACUCCUGGUUCUCCACUGAGGCCACGGAAGCCUGGCUGGGUUCCACAGGUGGCCCAGGGGCCCUUUCUGGUUCACCAGAAAUCACCUGGUGGGGGGCGUGGUCCCGGGACUCUAAAAGGUCAGGUCUAGCCAGGGGUGUUGGGCCCGUGCCGUCUGCUGCUGGCUGUGCAACCCCCAGAGCUCCGGACGGCAGGCUCUGCACUAAGGCCAGCAGUGGGCGAGCCCCUGGGAGCAGGGGACGCCUGGGGCACCUGACUCCCUGGGGAGGGAUGAACUAGCUCAGGGGCAGAAGUUAAAGUUGCCAUGCUUUCGGCAGUGCAUCUAACUGGGGAGUAUCCCAUGUGUUUUAAGACUGGGCCAGAUGGGGGGAGACCAGUCCCCAAAGAAAGAAAAAGCUGGACCGCUGCUACCCUAGACUUUUAGGGCUGGUAUCCGGGCCCUCUCUCCCCGGACAAGCCCUCUCUAACCCCCUUCCACUUUCCUGGCCUGAUCCAGGCUCCGGGGAACACAGAUUUCCAGGGACAGAAGCUCAGGGUUGGGAAGCCCCAAAUCCUGGCGAUUUCCUGCCUUUGGAGGGGGAUUGGGGCAGGGGGGAAAGCAGGGAAGGGUUUGCGUUGUUUGUGGGGCAUUUCAGGGACAGCUGGGUGCUCAAUGGCCACCUUUACACAAACCUUCCUUUUGGGACCCAGGAAGGGAGAUGCCGCCUGCCUGCAGAAAAAGAACUGAUAAACAGAAGCCUGUAGAGUAUGGUUUUAACCCCCCCCCCCACACACACACACACACACACACAUACCCACAGCUUUGUGUCUGAUGGGAGUCACGUCUAGGGUGGGAGGAGGGAAAAUAUGAAAACUACCCAGCAGGGAAAAUGUGACUAUGUAGAAGGAAGUGGAGAAAGCAGAGUAACCAAUGGCUGCAAGUAUUGACUAAAGAGUUUGUUUUUUGAGUAAAUAGUGUGAAACAUAAACUCAUGUUUUUUACAAUAAAUCUUUUUUACGAUAUAGUGGGUUUUUUAAAGUAAAUAGUGUGAAAUAUAAACUCCUGGUUUUACAAUAAAUCCUUUUUUUUUAGAGUGGGUUGUGUACCUGGAAAUGUUCUCCUUUUUUUUGGUCUUUUUUUUUUAUUUACAAGUUAUAUGUAUGGGUAAUUUUACAGCAUUGACAAUUGUCAAACCUUUUCUUCCAAUUUUUCCCAUCCUUCCCCCACCCCUUCCCCCAGAUGGCAGGUUGACUAAUACUGUUAAAUGUGUUAAAGUAUAAAUUAAAUACAAUAUAAGUAUACGUGUCCUAACAGUUAUUUUUUUUUUUUGUCUUUAUGUGUCUAAAUUCAAAAUGAAUACAAAAAAAUUUUAAGAGAAAAAAAUAAAUCUUUCUUUGGAUCUGUCAGCCUGGUCUUGGUUUGUGUUCAUAUAUCAAACUCUCCUGCAAAUUAAGAAUCUGCCCCUGAGUCUGACCAGGAGAGUCAGUGUCACAGCCACGGCCAUGAUUU